Molecule: long non-coding RNA, 1140 nt
Filed under: Daphnia pulicaria
Lineage: Eukaryota; Metazoa; Arthropoda; Branchiopoda; Diplostraca; Daphniidae
Description: uncharacterized LOC124350494, transcript variant X1
Source: RNAcentral
UCUUGAAGGAAAUUCUUUCCUCUUUCAAUCUGAUAUUUUAGUUUAUUAUUUCUCCUUAGAGGAGUUACUGAAAAAUCAAUUUGAUUAACGACACCCAUUCUUGAGGCAAACUGGCCUGGCAACGUUGGGGCAGUUUGCGUGUAUAACAUCUCUGUCGUCUAACGUCAAAAUGAUGGUUACAUUUUGAAAGCUGCCAAGAAAGUUGUUGCUGAGAAACAAAAAGUAUGUGAUGUUUCCAAAGAAACCUCCAUCCAAAAAGAGCUCUACUGAGAUAUGUUAAAAAUUUCUUGGCUACUGGAAUUCAAGAUGAAGUUGAAGCAACUACAAUCAUUGGGGGUUACCAAAAACCUCGUAAGGUUUUCAGCAGCGAACAAGAAAGCAAUCUUAGCAGUUACGUCAAAAGGGCCAGUGACAUUUAUCAUGGAAUCACUACCACAGACAUGAGAAGAUUGGCUUAUCAGUACGCUACCCAAGAAAAAUGUAUUGUCCCUCUUUCUUGGUCGGUCAAGAAGGAAGCUGGAAGAGACUGGCUCUCUGGUUUCAUGAGAAGACGUCAAGACCUUUCAAUCAGAAAACCACAAGCAACAUCUCUAAGCAGAGCUACCAGCUUCAACAAGCAUUACAUUGAUUCCUUCUUUGACAAUGUUGUGGUUGAACUUCAGAGUUCAUUUAAAGGAAUAUUUCCUCAAUGGUGCCCCUCUUGGUUCUGUUGGAUCAGCCAAUAAGUCUGGCUGGAUAUGUCAGAAAGAUCGGUCGACUUUGCUCCAUCUUUCGUCACGGAUCGUCCUUUUAAUUCAUCACCAGUCCCAUCUUCAUAGAAAUCCCAGCAUCCAACGAUAACAUCGUCCAAGAAGGCCAAACUCCCGUUCCAGAGAACCACAUCACACACGGCCAAUGUUCUUAGUUAUUUUAAUUAUCUUGAUGUCGUGGCCAUUUUAAUUUUUGAUUUUUAAAUAACUCAUGUAUCGUUGUCAUUUCCACCAAGAAUAUACUUUUGAAUCUUAACUUUCUUUCUUUAUUUAUACGUUUAACUGAUGUACCGUCCCUUGGACUGUUAGUCCAUAAGAAUAACAUGGGCUUUUAUGCCCCCAUACAUGGAGCGAAGUGCCCCUUCAACGGGGCAUCUCGUCUUUUAAUUUU